AUGGGCAACACGUGCGGCGUCACCUUUAGAUCCAAGUACUUCUCCAGCUUCCGCGGCGCGUCGCAGCGCCACGACUCGGGGUACGCGCCCGUCGCCGCUGCCGCCGCCGAUGCCGACUCCCCGCCGGGCAAGCGGCCCUCGCGCCCGGCGGCCGUUGCCGACGCGGCCGCCCCGCCCCCCGCCGCCGGCAUGCGCCGGGGCUCGCUCGCCCCCGCGGAGCUGACGGCCAACGUGCUCGGCCACCCCACCCCGAGCCUCCACGACCACUACCUGCUCGGGCGCAAGCUCGGGCAGGGGCAGUUCGGCACCACCUACCUCUGCACCGACCGCGCCACCGGGGCGGACUACGCCUGCAAGUCCAUCGGCAAGCGCAAGCUCAUCACCAAGGAGGACGUCGAGGAUGUGCGCCGCGAGAUCCAGAUCAUGCACCACCUCGCCGGUCACCGGAACGUCGUCGCCAUCAAGGGCGCCUACGAGGACCAGGUCUACGUCCACAUCGUCAUGGAGCUCUGUGGUGGCGGCGAGCUCUUCGACCGCAUCAUACAGCGGGGGCAUUACAGCGAGCGCAAGGCGGCCGAGCUCACGCGCAUCGUUGUAGGAGUUGUCGAGGCGUGCCACUCGCUUGGGGUCAUCCACAGGGAUCUCAAACCUGAAAACUUCUUGCUGGCCAACAAGGAUGACGACAUGUCGCUUAAGGCCAUCGAUUUCGGCCUCUCCGUGUUCUUUAAGCCUGGUCAAGUUUUCACUGAUGUUGUCGGAAGCCCUUACUAUGUAGCUCCAGAAGUGUUGCGCAAACGUUAUGGACCAGAAGCUGAUGUAUGGACAGCUGGUGUAAUUCUUUACAUACUACUAAGUGGUGUACCACCAUUUUGGGCAGAGACUCAGCAAGGAAUAUUUGAUGCAGUAUUGAAAGGCGUAAUUGAUUUUGAUAGUGAUCCCUGGCCUGUGAUUUCUGAUAGUGCAAAGGAUCUCAUAAUGAGAAUGUUGAAUCCUCGCCCCGCAGAGCGUCUAACAGCACAUGAAGUUCUAUGUCACCCUUGGAUUUGUGAUCAUGGAGUUGCUCCUGAUCGUCCGCUUGAUCCAGCUGUCCUUUCUCGCAUUAAGCAGUUCUCAGCAAUGAAUAAGUUAAAGAAGAUGGCUUUGCGAGUAAUUGCUGAGAGCCUUUCAGAGGAGGAGAUUGCAGGAUUAAAAGAAAUGUUUGAGGCAAUGGACACAGACAAUAGCGGUGCAAUUACAUACGAUGAGCUGAAAGAAGGCAUGCGAAAGUAUGGUUCAACACUAAAAGAUACUGAGAUUCGUGAUCUUAUGGAAGCGGCGGAUGUGGACAACAGUGGAACCAUUGAUUAUAUAGAAUUCAUUGCUGCUACAUUGCAUCUCAAUAAACUAGAGCGAGAGGAACAUCUUGUGGCAGCCUUUUCUUAUUUUGACAAGGAUGGUAGUGGUUACAUUACAGUGGACGAGCUCCAGCAAGCUUGCAAAGAGCAUAACAUGCCAGAUGCUUUUCUUGAUGACGUCAUAAUCGAAGCUGACCAGGAUAAUGACGGUCGCAUUGAUUACGGAGAGUUUGUUGCCAUGAUGACAAAGGGCAAUAUGGGGGUUGGGAGGAGAACAAUGAGAAACAGCCUGAAUAUAAGCAUGACUGAAUGA
This 1647-nucleotide ribosomal RNA is filed under the name Triticum aestivum (bread wheat). RNAcentral's name for it is "partial small subunit ribosomal RNA". Lineage: Eukaryota; Viridiplantae; Streptophyta; Magnoliopsida; Poales; Poaceae. The record is from RNAcentral.